This 481-nucleotide ribosomal RNA is filed under the name uncultured bacterium. RNAcentral describes it as "bacterial SSU rRNA". It matches the Rfam family "Bacterial small subunit ribosomal RNA", at positions 33 to 507 of the family's 1533-position model. The record is from RNAcentral.
AGACGACGCUGGCGGCGUGCCUAAUACAUGCAAGUCGAGCGGGGGAUUAUGCUUGAUCGCUUCGGUGAGACGGCAUAUAUCCUAGCGGCGGACGGGUGAGUAACGCGUGGGUAAUCUACCUCGUAGUUCGGGAUAACAGGCCGAAAGGCUUGCUAAUACCGGAUGAGUUCAUGCUUAUGCAUAUAGGCAUGAAGAAAGGGCUAGCCCGCUAUGAGAUGAGCCCGCGUCCCAUUAGCUUGUUGGUGGGGUAAUGGCCUACCAAGGCAACGAUGGGUAGCCGGCCUGAGAGGGUGUACGGCCACACUGGGACUGAGACACGGCCCAGACUCCUACGGGGGGCAGCAGUAGGGAAUUUUCGGCAAUGGGCGAAAGCCUGACCGAGCGACGCCGCGUGAGGGACGAAGGCCUUCGGGUUGUAAACCUCUGUCUGGGGGGAUGAGAACGGACGGUACCCCCGGAGGAAGCCCCGGCUAACUACGUG